GAUGAACGCUGGCGGCGUGCCUAAUACAUGCAAGUCGAGCGAUCGGACGAAAAGCUUUCUUUUCUUAUGUUAGCGGCGGACGGGUGAGAAACACGUGGAUAACCCUCCUCUAUGGCUGGGAUAACUUAGGGAAACCGGAAUUCAUGACGGCAAAUCUUUUCAACCGCAUGGUUGAGGAGUGAAAGACGGUCUUGCUGUGGCUUAUCGAUGGAUCCGCGCUGUAUUAGGUAGUUGGUAGGGUAACGGCUUACCAAGGCAACGAUGCAUAGCCGACCUGAGAGGGUGAUCGGCCACACGGGAACUGAGACACGGUCCAGACUCCUACGGGAGGCAGCAGUCGGGAAUCUUCCGCAAUGGGCGAAAGCCUGACGGAGCGACGCCGCGUGAGUGAUGAAGGUCUUCGGAUCGUAAAGCUCUGUUAUUGGGGAAGAACAUAUGUGAGAGGAAAUGUGCACAUAUUGACGGUACCUAAACAGGAAGCCACGGCUAACUACGUG
This 497-nucleotide ribosomal RNA is filed under the name uncultured bacterium. RNAcentral describes it as "partial 16S ribosomal RNA". It matches the Rfam family "Bacterial small subunit ribosomal RNA", at positions 28 to 507 of the family's 1533-position model. The record is from RNAcentral.